CGGAGAAGCUUCAUCUGCUUUUAUGUUGCAUAGGAAAAUCCCGGCUUUCUUCUUUGACAAAGCAGAAGAGUUCUUCUGCGGCGGUGCAUAGCGAAAACGCUGAAUAGCACAAGCUGACCAGACCUUUACCAGAGGCUACAGAAUUCGGGUUUUUGCACAAGCUGACCAGACCUUUACCAGAGGCUACAGAAUUCGGGUUUUUGCACAAGCUGACCAAGACCUUUAGAAGAGGCUCCCGAAUUCGUUUUUUUGCACAAGCUGACUGGACCUUCACAAGAAGCUGCCUGCCGAGUUCGGGUUUUUGAGGCGAUGGUGCGUCUGACUAGUGUACCAUGAGGGAGGCAGUGACAUAUCCAGCAGGCUGGUUCCAGGUUACCCUACCUGUUAUUUUUUGACUAAAUCCCGGGGGCUAAAGAUGUGAUUGUAGAGAAUAAGUUUGCGAUGCGGCGUUAUGCAUUCCUCAAAUUAGCCUCUGUUCCUUGUCCAAAAGAAUUGUAUAGAAACAAGCUGUGAACUGUAAUGUCAAACUCUGGCACCAACACAUGCACACAGGGAAGAAAUACAUCACAUAUACUAUUUUGGGUGAGCUUCAGUUCAAAGCAUGGUACAAACCAGACAAAGCUGUUAUCCUUUUUCAAACAUUAUUUAGAGAUGCGUAUGUUGAUAAUCAAUAAGUUUCUAUUACAAAACAACCAAGGCUCUAUCUUAGGAGGAAGUACAGCAACAUG
RNAcentral lists this long non-coding RNA (728 nucleotides) under Triticum aestivum (bread wheat). Its description in RNAcentral is "long non-coding RNA (TAES_LNC023846)". Lineage: Eukaryota; Viridiplantae; Streptophyta; Magnoliopsida; Poales; Poaceae. The record is from RNAcentral.